RNAcentral lists this ribosomal RNA (637 nucleotides) under Guignardia sp. EW-2011. RNAcentral describes it as "eukaryotic LSU rRNA". The stretch from base 255 to 408 matches the Rfam family "5.8S ribosomal RNA". The record is from RNAcentral. Lineage: Eukaryota; Fungi; Ascomycota; Dothideomycetes; Botryosphaeriales; Phyllostictaceae.
UAAGGGACACUUCUAAGUGAGCAGGGGAAACCUGAAACGGAGUGCAACGGGAAGCCACUAGAUAAGGCGACCGACCUACCUUCACACCCUUGUGUUUCUACCACGUUGCUUUGGUGGGUCGACCCGGUUCUGUCCCGGGCGGCCGGUGACCCCAGCCCAGUCCCCUGGGCCAGGACGCCUGGCUAAGUGCCCGCCAGUAUACAAAACUCCAGCGAUCAUUUUGUGUAGUCCUGAGAAUUCAUUCAAUGAACUAAAACUUUCAACAACGGAUCUCUUGGUUCUGGCAUCGAUGAAGAACGCAGCGAAAUGCGAUAAGUAAUGUGAAUUGCAGAAUUCAGUGAAUCAUCGAAUCUUUGAACGCACAUUGCGCCCCCUGGUAUUCCGGGGGGCAUGCCUGUUCGAGCGUCAUUUCAACCCUCAAGCUCUGCUUGGUAUUGGGCGACGUCCGCUGCCGGACGCGCCUGGAAAACUCGGCGACGGCGUCUCGGCCUCGAGCGUAGUANUAAAAUAUCUCGCUUUGGAGGAGGAGGCGACGGCUUGCCGGACAAUCGACCUUCGGUCACUUAUUUUUCCAAGGUUGACCUCCGAUCAGGUAGGGAUACCCGGCUGAACUUAGCAUAUCAAUAGCGGGGGGAAA